UCCAAAUUCCAAACAUUUUCCUGUCACGCAGAAUGACUUUUCAUUUCCCUUGCUGCAGGCAGUUCCAAAAGGAAACCAACCGUUCUCUCCAUUGACCAAAUAAAAUCUGUGGGAGACGGUAUCGUCCUGGCAAGCGACGCGGCACGGCCUGUCUGGAUCCUCUGAAAAAAGAAAGAUCGAUGUUGCGAAUUGAUACGGACUCCUGAGGCGCCCACAACUCUGAAUAUUACACGUAUUAUAAUGUUAAUUCAUUCGAUCGUAGAUUUAGAUUACGAAGUGCCUGGAGUGGACUCGGCGAAGUUGUCGAUGGAACUUUUAAACAUUGGGCGGCUUUGCAAGCCACGUAACGUUUUUUGGGCCCGACACAAUUUUCCUCGGUAUUUUGUUGGCUGAAAAAUAUAUUCAAUGAACAGAG
RNAcentral lists this unclassified non-coding RNA (415 nucleotides) under Athalia rosae (coleseed sawfly). Its description in RNAcentral is "misc RNA ENSAEAG00005003934.1". The record is from RNAcentral. Lineage: Eukaryota; Metazoa; Arthropoda; Insecta; Hymenoptera; Athaliidae.